CUGUGAUGGCGGUGGUACUGGUCAGUUUGGUUAGUUACAGUGUUCUAGAAGUUACAGUGUACUAGCUUGGUGUUGUGGUGUUGUCUAUAAGUGUUCUGUGGUGUUGUCAACGCCCGUGGGUGUUGUGUAAAUGGGUGCGCGUUAUCGCGCGACGCCGGCACGGCCCAUCGCUUUGCUCGCGCAUAUUGCGAACGUGGGAUCUUCGAAGUCUGUGGCAGACGGGGGCGGCGAAGAAAGUGAACCAUCGAUCGUGGACUCAGCCCAACGGUACGAUGCGUGGUGCCAAAGGUCAUGUCCUGAAAAGUACAAUGGUGCAAGGGUACCCAAAUUUCUACAAGUGUUCUACAACGAUGCAGUGAGACCCCAAGAAAAGGUUUUCGCUUGGCACUGGAUACACCUGCAUGGGUACAUACCACCCUUGGCCUACCGUGAUCACGAUCUUAAGUGCUUGGAUAUAUAACUGGAGCAAGACAAGUGGCGGCGGAAGAUGUACGGUCACUCUCAAUAUGACUUGCAUCACGGGAGCGCGUGGUAUCAUGAGUUCAAAGACUGGCCAUGGCUUCCACUAGCCCUUAUUUCCAUAACUAAAUGCUGUUCUCGCACUCGGGGAUGAUUCCAAAUAAGAAAAUAUCAUUUAGUUGCUGAAAUGAAAACACGUUGAACCCAUGCACAAUCUUUGAACUCAUGAGGCCACACCCUCCCGUAUUGCAAGUCAUACUGAGUGAAAAAAAGAUUCUGCUAAAAGAUUCUGCUAAAAGGUUCUACAUAAAAGUGGAAAAGUGAUUCUGCUACUCCAUGUAAUCCUGCUGUCUGCUAAGCAGGGCAAGCUCUAGAAGUAUGCGCACAAACAAUGCUGUCGAUAUGGUUGCGGUUUGCCUAGUCUAGGAAUGGCUACAAUUUAUGCCUAUUGAUGCCCAUUUCCACUGGGCAGCAAGUUUGCCAGUUUCCCAGCAUUACAUCAUGUAUGUAGUGAUCACCUUGUUUUUAUGAACUGCUUGAAGUGUCAUGUGAAGACCAAGAAGGGCUCCAACGACAAUAAAAUCAUCUUUUUUUCUAUAAAAACCAGGCAAGUAACAGAAUCAAGCAAUAUUGCUCAUUAAUUUGAGCUACGCACAAUAAUUCUUAUAUAGGGUCAUUCCACGCCAAACGUCCCAGGCGACCAUCUCAAAUGUUCUCGAAAAAAAUCGUGCUGAUUUCUUGCAUUCAAAACAGCGAUUCGCUAGAAUAUUUCGGAGAGAAAAAAUUUUUUGGUCACAUGGGAGCCUUCCGAAUUUCGCAGAAGGUCGUCCGAGUGGUGGUUUGUCAGAAAAAUUAUAUUGAGUUAUCGUUGCUUGCUUCAAUACCAAAUUUGUUUUUCUUACUAAGCAAAGGUGUUUGUGUAAGGUGUUCGAAGCUCAAUAAUAUUAGUGCAAUUUUUCUGCCACAAACGCCUCCAGAAAAUUUGCCAAAAUGUCCUGUGUUUGCAUUUUUUCCUGUGUAAUAUUGCGCUAUGUAUGAAUAUCUGAAUAAUGAAUACUUACUCUACAAAAAGGUAUAUUUUGCGUUGAAAAUAUUAUUCAGACCACUGCUGCUUUUCAAUUUUGCAAGAAAAAAUCGCAAACUUGAGAAAAUCAUCAUUUUGGUCCACACUGAAAAGCAAUUUACAACAUGUGGUGCUCUAAUUAAAAUUCAUCU
Rhipicephalus sanguineus (brown dog tick) is the source of this 1674-nucleotide long non-coding RNA. RefSeq lists it as uncharacterized. The record is from RefSeq and is a predicted model, not a curated record. The transcript has 3 exons. Lineage: Eukaryota; Metazoa; Arthropoda; Arachnida; Ixodida; Ixodidae.